AGAAGCUCAGUCAUUGGAGAAGAAAACGUCAGUAGUUUGGGUCAUCGUUCCCAUCAUUCCUUUCUUAGCUGCAAUGGGAAGCUUAUAUUUUUGCUACAAAAAGAAACAGAAGUUGAUGUUUUCUGGUUCUGCCCAGCUUCCUGCACCACGAGAAGAGCAUCAAGAGGAGCAGACACUUGAGGUGGCAGAUAUUUGUAGAAGAACUGAAUCCACCAGAGAAGAAGCUGGAUGGGCUGUGUCUACACUUUAUAACUCACUCGAUUCUUUUUACAAUGCGUCAAACUAAAAGAUGACAAAUCCACUGUCACUACUGGACCCAGUGCAGCAGAUGAGCCAAUCCCACGAACUGGGGCAGCUGCAAAGUCUAGAACAAGGGUAUGGUGAGGAGC
RNAcentral lists this long non-coding RNA (389 nucleotides) under Chrysolophus pictus (golden pheasant). RNAcentral's name for it is "lncRNA (ENSCPIG00010000845.1)". Lineage: Eukaryota; Metazoa; Chordata; Aves; Galliformes; Phasianidae. The record is from RNAcentral.